Long non-coding RNA from Mauremys reevesii (Reeves's turtle), 633 nucleotides. RefSeq lists it as uncharacterized. NCBI's taxonomy places the organism in Eukaryota, Metazoa, Chordata, Testudines, Geoemydidae. The transcript has 4 exons. The record is from RefSeq and is a predicted model, not a curated record.
GACCAGAAGGAGCUGGGAAGAUGACAGGAUGAUAGCAGCUGGAGAGGACAGAGUGGGAGACAGCUUUGGGCGUGCCAAGCAUUCUCUCAAAGCCUAUGGCAAGUCAUAACUCGGUGCAGGGAUCAAAAGCUUCAAAGGAAUGUGAAUCCACCAUGAAGCUGGACUCAGGAUAACAAGCCUGGUGGAUUGGGGGGAAGUGGUAGAUGGAAGAAAUAGAUCCUAAAUGGAACUACUAUACGACCCUUCUGCUGUGCAAGUGUCCGGAGCAGAAAACUUAUCCCUCCUCUUAGCAGUCACAGCAGAGAGGCUAAGGGUGCAAAGGGUAGGCAAUAAAUGUAUCCUCUCAGCCCUAAAGGGGCUCCCUCCAACAUGGGAAAGUUUGCACUGCCCCUGUCCAUUCUGGUCUAGUCCUGCAGAUACACAGUGGCCUUCAGUCUCCAUACUUCCGGUGUGGUGAAAUGUGCUGUGCUGUGGGAAUAAGUGCUUGUAGGUUCAAAAUCCUGUCUAAUCUGUUGCAGAGGAGGUGAACAGUCUUAACUUCCAGGAACGCUAAACUCAUGUAAAAGAGUGAAUACACUCCUUUAGCCCUGGCUAACUGUGACUCUGAAUGUUCCUUUGGGGUGUUCUCACUCU